This 87-nucleotide non-coding RNA is filed under the name Aurantiochytrium limacinum. The record is from RNAcentral. Lineage: Eukaryota; Bigyra; Thraustochytrida; Thraustochytriidae.
AACAAAAUUAAAAAACACGAUAACUAACAACACCAAAAACUGGUUACAUGUAUGCUUGCAUCUUCUAUAUUUUUACUCCUAUUUCUU